UCUUAUAAUCUUUUUCCGAUCGAUCUUUAUCUCUCUUUCUCCUGACCGCUUGCUCUAGCCCUAGCACUAGUUGUACCCGAUCGCUAGCCUCCCUGGCAAGCUCACCCAAUCACCAGCGCUAGGGGUAGCAAUCCUCCUUGGCCGGAGACGGGAGACACCACAUGGCAGGAAAGAGGAGAAGAAAGCCAUGCCAAGGGGAGGCCUCAUGCCCACCACUCACCGGGAUAGUGCGAUUUCAAUCCAUGGAAGAAAAGCUGAAGGUGAAAUGAGGCAGAUUAUCCUCCUUGUUGGCUUGCAAGUUGCACCUGAUUUUCAUAAAAGGCCCUGACUGCUGUGAGUCCUGUACGGAGGAGAUGAGAAGCAAAGUCCUGCUGAUGCUGUGGGCGCUUGAGGAAUGGUGUUAUUGUUCGCAGGAAGGUUGAUGGUAGUACCAUUGGCGCCUCGGCGCAGAAUUAUAAUGCAGACUUUCUUGUCAGGCAGAUUGUUAUUCAUCAGAUGAGUUGUGGACCUGCAAAUAAAUUUUUGAAUAUGAUU
Molecule: long non-coding RNA, 534 nt
Organism: Triticum aestivum (bread wheat)
Lineage: Eukaryota; Viridiplantae; Streptophyta; Magnoliopsida; Poales; Poaceae
Exons: 3
Source: RefSeq, a predicted model, not a curated record